Molecule: ribosomal RNA, 529 nt
Filed under: uncultured eukaryote
Lineage: Eukaryota
Description: SSU rRNA
Rfam family: Eukaryotic small subunit ribosomal RNA
Source: RNAcentral
CCUGGUUGAUCCUGCCAGUAGUCAUAUGCUUGUCUCAAAGAUUAAGCCAUGCAUGUCUAAGUACAAGCCUCACUAAGGUGAAACCGCGAAUGGCUCAUUAAAUCACACCUAAUCUACUGGAUAGUAGUCAGUUACUCGGAUACCUGCGGUAAUUCUGCAGCUAAUACGUGCAAACAAGCCUCGACUUUGGAAGAGGCGCUUUUAUUAGAUCAAAACCGAUCGGCUUCGGCCGUCCUUUUGGUGAUUCUGAAUAACUUUGAGCUGAUCGCAUGGCCUCGAGCCGGCGACAUAUCCAUCGAAGGUGUGCCCUAUCAUCUGUCGACUGUGGCAUAGACGCCCACAGUGGAUUUGACGGGUAACGGGGAAUCAGGGUUCGAUUCCGGAGAGGGAGCCUUAAAAACGGCUACCACAUCCAAGGAAGGCAGCAGGCACGCAAAUUACCCAAGGACCGAAUGUCGAGGUGGUGACGAAAAAUAACGAUACGGGACUCAUCCGAGGCCCCGUAAUCGGAAUGAGUACACUUUAAAAC